This 293-nucleotide ribosomal RNA is filed under the name uncultured Pseudomonas sp. RNAcentral describes it as "partial 16S ribosomal RNA". It matches the Rfam family "Bacterial small subunit ribosomal RNA", at positions 1090 to 1382 of the family's 1533-position model. The record is from RNAcentral. Lineage: Bacteria; Pseudomonadati; Pseudomonadota; Gammaproteobacteria; Pseudomonadales; Pseudomonadaceae.
GUACGAGCGCAACCCUUGUCCUUAGUUACCAGCACGUUAUGGUGGGCACUCUAAGGAGGACUGCCGGUGACAAACCGGAGGAAGUGGGGAUGACGUCAAGUCAUCAUGGCCCUUACGGCCUGGGCUACACACGUGCUACAAUGGUCGGUACAAAGGGUUGCCAAGCCGCGAGGUGGAGCUAAUCCCAUAAAACCGAUCGUAGUCCGGAUCGCAGUCUGCAACUCGACUGCGUGAAGUCGGAAUCGCUAGUAAUCGUGAAUCAGAAUGUCACGGUGAAUACGUUCCCGGGCCUU